This 218-nucleotide unclassified non-coding RNA is filed under the name Hevea brasiliensis (rubber tree). Lineage: Eukaryota; Viridiplantae; Streptophyta; Magnoliopsida; Malpighiales; Euphorbiaceae. The record is from RNAcentral.
AAUGAUAUGUCAACGUGACCUAUCAAAAUUCAACUAACAUCUUUUGAAAUCUACAAGAGAAAGAGGAAGAUCGAAGAACAUAAGCACAAGGGCAAAUUUCUUAUUCUGAUGGCAUUUUUCUAAAAUCCACAAAGUCAAAUAAUAGAAAGAAGAAUUGAAUUAACAAUAUGCAGAUGUAGAUCAGUACAUACACUACAUCAACAAUCACUUCAUUCAUA